Molecule: ribosomal RNA, 449 nt
Filed under: uncultured bacterium
Lineage: Bacteria
Description: partial 16S ribosomal RNA
Rfam family: Bacterial small subunit ribosomal RNA
Source: RNAcentral
UGCCAGACUCCUACGGGAGGCAGCAGUGGGGAAUAUUGCACAAUGGGGGAAACCCUGAUGCAGCGACGCCGCGUGAGUGAAGAAGUAUUUCGGUAUGUAAAGCUCUAUCAGCAGGAAAGAAAAUGACGGUACCUGACUAAGAAGCCCCGGCUAACUACGUGCCAGCAGCCGCGGUAAUACGUAGGGGGCAAGCGUUAUCCGGAUUUACUGGGUGUAAAGGGGGCGCAGACGGCAGCGCAAGCCAGGAGUGAAAGCCCGGGGCCCAACCCCGGGACUGCUCUUGGAACUGCGCGGCUGGAGUGCAGGAGGGGCAGGCGGAAUUCCUGGUGUAGCGGUGAAAUGCGUAGAUAUCAGGAGGAACACCGGUGGCGAAGGCGGCCUGCUGGACUGCGACUGACGUUGAGGCCCGAAAGCGUGGGGAGCAAACAGGAUUAGAUACCCUCGUAUAC